AGUCGAACGGCAGCGCGGGGCAACCUGGCGGCGAGUGGCGAACGGGUGAGUAAUAUAUCGGAACGUACCCUGGAGUGGGGGAUAACGUAGCGAAAGUUACGCUAAUACCGCAUACGAUCUAAGGAUGAAAGUGGGGGCUUCGCAAGAACCUCAUGCUCCUGGAGCGGCCGAUAUCUGAUUAGCUAGUUGGUAGGGUAAAAGCCUACCAAGGCUUCGAUCAGUAGCUGGUCUGAGAGGACGACCAGCCACACUGGAACUGAGACACGGUCCAGACUCCUACGGGAGGCAGCAGUGGGGAAUUUUGGACAAUGGGCGCAAGCCUGAUCCAGCAAUGCCGCGUGAGUGAAGAAGGCCUUCGGGUUGUAAAGCUCUUUUGUCAGGGAAGAAACGGUGAGAGCUAAUAUCUCUUGCUAAUGACGGUACCUGAAGAAUAAGCACCGGCUAACUACGUGCCAGCAGCCGCGGUAAUACGUAGGGUGCAAGCGUUAAUCGGAAUUACUGGGCGUAAAGCGUGCGCAGGCGGUUUUGUAAGUUUGUCGUGAAAGCCCCGGGCUCAACCUGGGAAUUGCGAUGAAGACUGCAAGGCUUGAAUCUGGCAGAGGGGGGUAGAAUUCCACGUGUAGCAGUGAAAUGCGUAGAGAUGUGGAGGAACACCGAUGGCGAAGGCAGCCCCCUGGGUCAAGAUUGACGCUCAUGCACGAAAGCGUGGGGAGCAAACAGGAUUAGAUACCCUGGUAGUCCACGCCCUAAACGAUGUCUACUAGUUGUCGGGUUUUAAUUAACUUGGUAACGCAGCUAACGCGUGAAGUAGACCGCCUGGGGAGUACGGUCGCAAGAUUAAAACUCAAAGGAAUUGACGGGGACCCGCACAAGCGGUGGAUGAUGUGGAUUAAUUCGAUGCAACGCGAAAAACCUUA
This 917-nucleotide ribosomal RNA is filed under the name Massilia sp. Ume52. Its description in RNAcentral is "bacterial SSU rRNA". It matches the Rfam family "Bacterial small subunit ribosomal RNA", at positions 60 to 973 of the family's 1533-position model. Lineage: Bacteria; Pseudomonadati; Pseudomonadota; Betaproteobacteria; Burkholderiales; Oxalobacteraceae. The record is from RNAcentral. RNAcentral also lists the same sequence under 1 other name.